UACACCAUAGAAUUUUGUGAUAACAUUUGAGAAGAUGGCUUUAAUAGUAUGCUUUCAGUUAAGAAAAAGAAACAAUGGGGUCACCGGACCCGUUUUCUUGCUACAUUAUAAAUUUGGUAAAUUCCUAACACAUUCUAUUGUACCUUAAUCUGAAUUAUCUGUUCUUGCAUUUAGGUUGCCUCCCCUUAUGUGGCAAAGUUGGAAAAAAAUGAUCAAACAAAACAUGUCUGUUUUUUGUAAAAUACAAACAUAAAUAUGAUUAAACAUGUCAUUUUCUAUAUCGAAUUGGAAGUUCUUACACAUGAAUUACCAACUACUCUAAAAAUUUGCACAUUCUAUUGAAGAUCUAGACCUUGUUUUCUCGUAUUUCCAAAUCCAAGAUGGAGGAAGACACCCUAUCUACCUUAA
RNAcentral lists this long non-coding RNA (408 nucleotides) under Mytilus galloprovincialis (Mediterranean mussel). Lineage: Eukaryota; Metazoa; Mollusca; Bivalvia; Mytilida; Mytilidae. The record is from RNAcentral.